UACGUAGGGGGCGAGCGUUGUCCGGAAUUACUGGGCGUAAAGCGCACGCAGGCUGAUUGUUAAGUCGGUUGUAAAAGUCAAAGGCUUACCCUUUGAAUGUCGAUCGAUACUGGCAGUCUUGAGUGUGAGAGAGGGAAGUGGAACUCCCGGUGUAGCGGUGAAAUGCGUAGAUAUCGGGAAGAACACCGGUGGCGAAGGCGGCUUCCUGGCUCACAACUGACGCUCAUGUGCGAAAGCUAGGGUAGCGAACGGG
Molecule: ribosomal RNA, 253 nt
Filed under: uncultured bacterium
Lineage: Bacteria
Description: partial 16S ribosomal RNA
Rfam family: Bacterial small subunit ribosomal RNA
Source: RNAcentral